Molecule: ribosomal RNA, 253 nt
Filed under: uncultured bacterium
Lineage: Bacteria
Description: partial 16S ribosomal RNA
Rfam family: Bacterial small subunit ribosomal RNA
Source: RNAcentral
UACGAAGGGAGCGAGCGUUGUUCGGAAUCACUGGGCUUAAAGCGUGCGUAGGCGGAUAUACAAGUCAGAAGUGAAAUCCCUGGGCUUAACCCAGGAACUGCUUUUGAUACUGUAUGUCUAGAAUUCGGUAGAGGCCGGUAGAAUAUCCAGUGUAGAGGUGAAAUUCGCAGAUAUUGGAUAGAAUACCGAUGGCGAAGGCAGCCGGCUGGGCCGAUAUUGACGCUGAGGUACGAAAGCGUGGGGAGCAAACAGG